This 253-nucleotide ribosomal RNA is filed under the name uncultured bacterium. RNAcentral's name for it is "partial 16S ribosomal RNA". It matches the Rfam family "Bacterial small subunit ribosomal RNA", at positions 524 to 776 of the family's 1533-position model. The record is from RNAcentral.
UACGUAGGGUGCAAGCGUUGUCCGGAAUUAUUGGGCGUAAAGAGCUCGUAGGCGGUUUGUCGCGUCUGCUGUGAAAACCCGAGGCUCAACCUCGGGCCUGCAGUGGGUACGGGCAGACUAGAGUGCGGUAGGGGAGAUUGGAAUUCCUGGUGUAGCGGUGGAAUGCGCAGAUAUCAGGAGGAACACCGGUGGCGAAGGCGGGACUCUGGGCCGAUACUGACGCUGAGGCACGAAGGUCAGGGGAGCAAACGGG